GGAAGAUAACGAAUCAAACUGACUGACAACUGACUGAGUGUUUAUGCUGCUCUACUGACCUCUCUCCACACUGCUCUCGCUCUCUGAACAGACUUUUCAGCUGUAACACAGAAAGGAGACACAAACAAGCACAAACAGGAAGUAAAUACUAUAACACUUGUUCUGAUGAAGUGUUUAGGAGUGUUACUAUGCACACGGUGCAGCACCUGCUCGGUGACCAGCCUCCUCUGUUGGUUCGGAUCUACAAGACAAACAUCAGUCAGUACCUGCUGGGGAGGUUCAAGAUCCUGCAGGUCUCGUUCCCGCUCAAGCGUUUCUGCUCGCCUUCUGCUUUCUGGAGCCAAAACAUAAAAACCAACAUGAGGGAAUACCUUCUAAUGGGGCCUUUGGUGACUCUAAGUCCUCAGGACUGCAUUCACUGAUCACUUCCUUUCUCCACAGCAGACCUUUGUGUCCAAAAAUCUGCCCGAGGUUCUUCAGAUCUUGAUCCCUGCGGCAGAAAAAGAAAAAAGGCUGAUGACAUGAAACCUGUCAUAUAGUUUAUUGUUCCAUAAAGGAACAAUAAGCGGCUGCUUCCUGUUUUACUAGUUUUUGAUAGCACUGCAUGUUCACAUUCCAUGACCGUUAAACCCCCUCAUCUGGAAAUAAAUGGUCAUAAAUGAUCUGAAUUGUGCAUCUUAAGGUCCUUAAACAGUCACAUG
Molecule: long non-coding RNA, 701 nt
Organism: Cyprinus carpio carpio
Lineage: Eukaryota; Metazoa; Chordata; Actinopteri; Cypriniformes; Cyprinidae
Source: Ensembl